AUGAUCCGCGUUGUCGACGGUUCCGCGAGGAAUCAAUAGGGAAUGCGGUGCGGGCUUAUGCCCAAAGCCGUGGCUGCCCCCGCAACUGUAAGCGGCUAGCCCUCCCCAGAGGCCACUGAAGAAUUCUUCGGGAAGGCGGGGAAGGGCGGCGAUCCGCAAGCCAGGAGACCUGCCGGCGACGCAGAUACUCG
Molecule: non-coding RNA, 191 nt
Filed under: Allomesorhizobium alhagi
Lineage: Bacteria; Pseudomonadati; Pseudomonadota; Alphaproteobacteria; Hyphomicrobiales; Phyllobacteriaceae
Also listed under: 1 other name
Source: RNAcentral